RNAcentral lists this ribosomal RNA (497 nucleotides) under uncultured bacterium. RNAcentral describes it as "partial 16S ribosomal RNA". It matches the Rfam family "Bacterial small subunit ribosomal RNA", at positions 28 to 507 of the family's 1533-position model. The record is from RNAcentral.
GAUGAACGCUGGCGGCGUGCCUAAUACAUGCAAGUCGAGCGAACGGACGAGAAGCUUGCUUCUCUGCUGUUAGCGGCGGACGGGUGAGUAACACGUGGAUAACCUACCUAUAAGACUGGGAUAACUUCGGGAAACCGGAGCUAAUACCGGAUAAUAUUUUGAACCGCAUGGUUCAAAAGUGAUAGACGGUCUUGCUGUCACUUAUAGAUGGAUCCGCGCUGCAUUAGCUAGUUGGUAAGGUAACGGCUUACCAAGGCAACGAUGCAUAGCCGAGCUGAGAGGGUGAUCAGCCACACUGGAACUGAGACACGGUCCAGACUCCUACGGGAGGCAGCAGUAGGGAAUAUUCCGCAAUGGGCGAAAGCCUGACGGAGCAAUGCCGCGUGAGUGAUGAAGGUCUUCGGAUCGUAAAACUCUGUUAUUAGGGAAGAACAGAUGUGUAAGAAACUGUGCACAUCUUGACGGUACCUAAUCAGAAAGCCACGGCUAACUACGUG